RNAcentral lists this ribosomal RNA (273 nucleotides) under uncultured bacterium. RNAcentral describes it as "partial 16S ribosomal RNA". It matches the Rfam family "Bacterial small subunit ribosomal RNA", at positions 524 to 796 of the family's 1533-position model. The record is from RNAcentral.
UACAGAGGGUGCUAGCGUUGUUCGGAAUUAUUGGGCGUAAAGGGCGCGUAGGCGGUUUCGCAUGUCCGAUGUGAAAGCCCACCUCUUAAAGGUGGAAUUGCAUCGGAAACUGCGAGACUGGAGUGCCGGAGAGGGUGGUGGAAUUCCUGGUGUAGAGGUGAAAUUCGUAGAUAUCAGGAGGAACACCGGUGGCGAAGGCGGCCACCUGGACGGUUACUGACGCUGAGGCGCGAAAGCGUGGGGAGCAAACAGGAUUAGAUACCCCCGUAGUCC